UACAGAGGAUGCAAGCGUUAUCCGGAAUGAUUGGGCGUAAAGCGUCUGUAGGUGGCUUUUUAAGUCCGCCGUCAAAUCCCAGGGCUCAACUCUGGACAGGCGGUGGAAACUACCAAGCUGGAGUACGGUAGGGGCAGAGGGAAUUUCCGGUGGAGCGGUGAAAUGCGCAGAUAUCAGGAGGAACACCGGUGGCGAAGGCGGAUCUCUGGGCCGUAACUGACGCUGAGGAGCGAAAGCAUGGGGAGCGAACAGG
Molecule: ribosomal RNA, 253 nt
Filed under: uncultured bacterium
Lineage: Bacteria
Description: partial 16S ribosomal RNA
Rfam family: Bacterial small subunit ribosomal RNA
Source: RNAcentral